Molecule: small nuclear RNA, 284 nt
Filed under: Myotis brandtii (Brandt's bat)
Lineage: Eukaryota; Metazoa; Chordata; Mammalia; Chiroptera; Vespertilionidae
Description: 7SK RNA
Rfam family: 7SK RNA
About the family: 7SK was discovered as an abundant small nuclear RNA in the mid-70s but a possible function has only recently been suggested.
Source: Rfam by way of RNAcentral
GGAUGUGAGGGCGAUCUGGCUGCGACAUCUGUCACCCCAUUGAUCGCCAGGGUUGAUUCGGCUGAUCUGGCUGGCUAGGCGGGUGUCCCCCUCCUCCCUCACCGAUCCAUAACCUUCCCCCCCAAGGAGAGGACCAGUCUUCAGUCAAGGGUAUACGAGUAGCUGCGCUCCCCUGCUAGAACCUCCAAACAAGCUCUCAAGAAUACUGUCUCUCAAUACAGUCCUAACCGCAAGGAGCAUGAUCACGCAUAGAUACCAUAUCUUUCUUGAUGUGAUCAAAUGAG